GAUGAAUGCUGGCGGCGUGCCUAAUACAUGCAAGUCGAGCGAACAGACGAGGAGCUUGCUCCUCUGACGUUAGCGGCGGACGGGUGAGUAACACGUGGAUAACCUACCUAUAAGACUGGGAUAACUUCGGGAAACCGGAGCUAAUACCGGAUAAUAUAUUGAACCGCAUGGUUCAAUAGUGAAAGGCGGUUUUGCUGUCACUUAUAGAUGGAUCCGCGCCGCAUUAGCUAGUUGGUAAGGUAACGGCUUACCAAGGCAACGAUGCGUAGCCGACCUGAGAGGGUGAUCGGCCACACUGGAACUGAGACACGGUCCAGACUCCUACGGGAGGCAGCAGUAGGGAAUCUUCCGCAAUGGGCGAAAGCCUGACGGAGCAACGCCGCGUGAGUGAUGAAGGUCUUCGGAUCGUAAAACUCUGUUAUUAGGGAAGAACAAAUGUGUAAGUAACUAUGCACGUCUUGACGGUACCUAAUCAGAAAGCCACGGCUAACUACGUG
This 497-nucleotide ribosomal RNA is filed under the name uncultured bacterium. Its description in RNAcentral is "partial 16S ribosomal RNA". It matches the Rfam family "Bacterial small subunit ribosomal RNA", at positions 28 to 507 of the family's 1533-position model. The record is from RNAcentral.